Armigeres subalbatus is the source of this 421-nucleotide long non-coding RNA. RefSeq lists it as uncharacterized. The transcript is spliced from 3 exons. NCBI's taxonomy places the organism in Eukaryota, Metazoa, Arthropoda, Insecta, Diptera, Culicidae. The record is from RefSeq and is a predicted model, not a curated record.
CAUAUUUUCAUCGCCAGAUUCAUUGUAAGAUUAAGUCGCGAGCAAUCGGUGCCUAUUUCAUCGGUAAAAUAAUCGAUUGAUUGUGUAUUUGUUGCUUAUUUUGAUCGUCUGAUUAUUGAACAGACGAAAUCGGGUCCUUGUGUUUAUGAACAUAGAGUAAAGCUCGAAUAAAGCAAAUUUGUGACAUACAGAACAUCCCGGAAAAUAGUUGUCUGGUAGUAAGCGGUUAAUAAAGAAUCAUGAAGCUCGAGACGUCCCCGAUCGAUUACAAAGUGUCUACGGCAUUCCUAGAAUGAUCAGACGUGCCACCCGAUUCGAAAAACAGAUUGAACCCCAUAUUUCGUCGGAUUCCAUGAUUUUCAACACCGAUUAACCUAUAGAUUUAGUAUGAUUUGCUAAAUGAUGAAAAUAAAUAAACCGA